GACGAACGCUGGCGGCGUGCUUAACACAUGCCAGUCGAACGGAAAGGCCCUGCUUGCAGGGUCCUACAGUGGCGGACGGGCGGGCAACACGGGGGUGAUCUGCCCUGCACUUCGGGAUAGGGCUGGGCGACUGGGUCUAAUACCGGAUAGGAGCUACUUUCUGCGGGAUGGUUGGAAAGAUGUUUCGGUGUUGGAUGAGCUCGCGGCCCAUUGGCUUGUUGGCGGGGUAAUGGGCUACCAAGGCGGCGACGGGUAGCCGGCCUGAGAGGGUGGACGGGCACAUUAGGACUGAGAUAGGCCGCAGACUCCUACGGGAGGCAGCGGUGGGGAGUAUUGCACAAUGGGCGCAAGCCUGAUGCAGAGACGCCGCGUGGGGGAUGACGGCCUUCGGGUUAUAAACUCCUUUCGCUAGGGACGAAGCUUUUGUGACGGUACCUAGAUAAGAAGCACCGGCUAACUACGUG
Molecule: ribosomal RNA, 464 nt
Filed under: uncultured bacterium
Lineage: Bacteria
Description: partial 16S ribosomal RNA
Rfam family: Bacterial small subunit ribosomal RNA
Source: RNAcentral